This 497-nucleotide ribosomal RNA is filed under the name uncultured bacterium. RNAcentral describes it as "partial 16S ribosomal RNA". It matches the Rfam family "Bacterial small subunit ribosomal RNA", at positions 28 to 507 of the family's 1533-position model. The record is from RNAcentral.
GACGAACGCUGGCGGCGUGCCUAAUACAUGCAAGUUGAGCGAUGAAGAUUGGUGCUUGCACCAAUUUGAAGAGCAGCGAACGGGUGAGUGACGCGUGGGGAAUCUGCCUUUGAGCGGGGGACAACAUUUGGAAACGAAUGCUAAUACCGCAUAACAACUUUAAACAUAAGUUUUAAGUUUGAAAGAUGCAAUUGCAUCACUCAAAGAUGAUCCCGCGUUGUAUUAGCUAGUUGGUGAGGUAAAGGCUCACCAAGGCGAUGAUACAUAGCCGACCUGAGAGGGUGAUCGGCCACAUUGGGACUGAGACACGGCCCAAACUCCUACGGGAGGCAGCAGUAGGGAAUCUUCGGCAAUGGACGAAAGGCUGACCGAGCAACGCCGCGUGAGUGAAGAAGGUUUUCGGAUCGUAAAACUCUGUUGGUAGAGAAGAACGUUGGUGAGAGUGGAAAGCUCAUCAAGUGACGGUAACUACCCAGAAAGGGACGGCUAACUACGUG